CAUGCAGGCGGUCGGACGCGUUUCCAGUGACAGCGGGUGGCUUAACUACCCGAGGGUUGGAAAGACGGUGCGACUUGAGUGCUCGAGAGGGACACGGAAUUCCGGGUGGAGUGGUGAAAUGCGUAGAGAUCCGGAGGAACAUCAAAGGCGAAGGCAGUGUCCUGGCGAGUGACUGACGCUGAGGUGCGAAAGCCAGGGGAGCGAACGGGAUUAGAUACCCCGGUAGUCCUGGCCGUAAACGAUGACCACCAGGUGUGGGAGGUAUCGACCCCUUCUGUGCCGGAGUUAACACACUAAGUGGUCCGCCUGGGGAGUACGGUCGCAAGAUUAAA
RNAcentral lists this ribosomal RNA (332 nucleotides) under uncultured bacterium. Its description in RNAcentral is "bacterial SSU rRNA". It matches the Rfam family "Bacterial small subunit ribosomal RNA", at positions 568 to 898 of the family's 1533-position model. The record is from RNAcentral.